GAUGAACGCUAGCUACAGGCUUAACACAUGCAAGUCGAGGGGAAACGACAUCGAAAGCUUGCUUUUGAUGGGCGUCGACCGGCGCACGGGUGAGUAACGCGUAUCCAACCUGCCCAUCACUUGGGAAUAACCUUGCGAAAGUAAGACUAAUACCCAAUGAUAUCCCACGAAGGCAUCGGAAUGGGAUUAAAGAUUUAUCGGUGAUGGAUGGGGAUGCGUCUGAUUAGCUUGUUGGCGGGGUAACGGCCCACCAAGGCAACGAUCAGUAGGGGUUCUGAGAGGAAGGCCCCCCACAUGGGAACUGAGACACGGUCCAAACUCCUACGGGAGGCAGCAGUGAGGAAUAGUGGUCAAUGGGCGAGAGCCUGAACCAGCCAAGUAGCGUGCAGGAAGACGGCCCUAUGGGUUGUAAACUGCUUUUAUAAGGGAAUAAAGUGGGUCACGUGUGACUUUUUGCAUGUACCUUAUGAAUAAGGACCGGCUAAUUCCGUG
This 492-nucleotide ribosomal RNA is filed under the name uncultured bacterium. RNAcentral's name for it is "partial 16S ribosomal RNA". It matches the Rfam family "Bacterial small subunit ribosomal RNA", at positions 28 to 507 of the family's 1533-position model. The record is from RNAcentral.